CGCUGGCGGUGUGCUUCACACAUGCAAGUCGAACGAGGUAGCAAUACCUAGUGGCGGACGGGUGAGUAACGCGUGGGAAUCUGCCUUUAGAUGGGGGAUAACGGGUCGAAAGACUCGCUAAUAUCGCAUAUGACGAAAGUUAAAAGGAGUAAUCCGUCUAAAGAUGAGCCCGCGUCCGAUUAGCUAGUUGGUAGUGUAAAAGCCUACCAAGGCGACGAUCGGUAGCUGGUCUGAGAGGAUGAUCAGCCACAAUGGACUGAGACACGGCCCAUACUCCUACGGGAGGCAGCAGUGGGGAAUUUUACGCAAUGGGCGAAAGCCUGACGUAGCGACACCGCGUGAGCGAAGAAGCCCCUUGGGGUGUAAAGCUCUGUCAGCUGGAACGAAAAAAUGACGGUACCAGCAGAGGAAGCAUCGGCUAACUACGUG
Molecule: ribosomal RNA, 429 nt
Filed under: uncultured bacterium
Lineage: Bacteria
Description: bacterial SSU rRNA
Rfam family: Bacterial small subunit ribosomal RNA
Source: RNAcentral